CACGAAGGUGGCAAGCGUUGUUCGGAAUUACUGGGCUUAAAGAGCACGUAGGCGGGCCAUUAAGCGUCAUGUGAAAUCCCUCGGCUCAACCGAGGACGUGCAUGGCGAACUGAUGGCCUUGAGGCAGGGAGAGGCAAGUGGAACUCUUGGUGGAGCGGUGGAAUGCGUAGAUAUCAAGAGGAACACCGGAGGCGAAAGCGACUUGCUGGUCCUGUCCUGACGCUGAGGUGCGAAAGCCAGGGGAGCGAACGGG
This 253-nucleotide ribosomal RNA is filed under the name uncultured bacterium. Its description in RNAcentral is "partial 16S ribosomal RNA". It matches the Rfam family "Bacterial small subunit ribosomal RNA", at positions 524 to 776 of the family's 1533-position model. The record is from RNAcentral.